CUGGCCCCGCCCCGCUGCGUGGUCUCUCUGGUAGCAGCUCUUGGCUUCUGGGCUGUGUCCCUGCGCCGCGCGCUGUGCGGGACUCUGGUUGGUCUGUGAACGCGCUCGCCCUCGGACUCGCGGAGCCCGGCGUCCUUCUGAAAGAUACCCGCUGCUGAAGAAGGUGACGCUGUGGGUGAGCCUGGUGCCCCUGGAAUAGGGGCCGGCGUUGCAGACUCGGGUUCGGCCACGGUCAGAGUUCACGAGCGCACAAGGUCAUCAUUGGGCCAGCUCCAUGUGGGUGAAUUAAGCUCACCUUUGCGUGAGCUCGUGGAACCAAGGCUAGAGUCUCUCGGCUAAUGCAAGCUGCUGACAGUGAUUUCUAGCUGGGGUGAGGGUGCAGGCUUGUCAUCCCAGCGCUCUGGGAGGCUGAGGAGGGAGGAUCUCAAGUUCCCGCCCAGCCUAGGUAACUAACUCUGCAACUUAGCGAGAUGCUGUUUCAAACAAUAAAAAAAAGGGCUAGGUAUGUGUGAAGACUCCAGGUUCAAUCCAGUACCAUAUAACUAAGCGUAACAUCUAACAGAAAACUGAGUUAGCGAUGAGCGGGAUACAGCUGAAGAAAUUGGUCCAGUCCAUCUGACAAAAAGCGGUAAAAUCUGUGAUGCAGGACUGGACUCCUGGGUGUGAAAUAUGGGUGCCAACCUCACUGUUUCAAAGGUGAAGUUACAGUACUUCCGAACACUGUAAAUGUGACUGCUGCCACCAGUGCGGGAGCUGCACUGACAUCACCUCCAAGAGGAUUAGUAGAAGAAGAAAAAGAGCCAGGAUCGCCGGGAUGGAGUUGCGUUGAAACGUGCCCUGUCACAGCUGCUGUGUACCCUGCGUGUCUGCAUUUCUCUCCAGAGUGCACCUGGCCACGCCCGCAGGAACACCCAGAAUCCGACCUUGAGCCCCGAUGCGCGGUGAUGGCAUUUAGGAGGCAAGAAGAGGAAGAUUCUUCUAGUUCCCCAUCAUCUCUACUCACCACCGUAUUCUUCAUCCCAGAUGUGUCUCCUGGAGCUGCCAUUAUAACCCACUUGUGUCCCUGGGCAACUUCUGAGCAGAUGAGUGGACCUGGCGCGGGUAGGGAAGGCAGCCACGGACCCCACUUUCCCCGGACCUGGAAUUAGACCCUGGAUUGAUACUUGUCUUCCACCCCAGAGACUGUUAUUCCUUGUAGGGAUGUGAUCAGCUUCAAUAUGGUCUCCUAUCAAUUUUGUCACCAAAUGGCUGGAAAGUGUUCAUCGGUUG
This 1269-nucleotide long non-coding RNA is filed under the name Cavia porcellus (domestic guinea pig). Its description in RNAcentral is "lncRNA (ENSCPOG00000030640.1)". The record is from RNAcentral. Lineage: Eukaryota; Metazoa; Chordata; Mammalia; Rodentia; Caviidae.